RNAcentral lists this ribosomal RNA (435 nucleotides) under Triticum aestivum (bread wheat). RNAcentral's name for it is "partial small subunit ribosomal RNA". The record is from RNAcentral. Lineage: Eukaryota; Viridiplantae; Streptophyta; Magnoliopsida; Poales; Poaceae.
AUGUUAUGGCUUUGGUGGUUUGAAAGAAACAAAGCACACUCAGGGGAAAGGAUAAGAGGUUGUAAUGAAAUCCAAGCUUCCAUUGAAAUCCACUGCAAAGAAUUUGAGGAGGAAUGGAAUAAAAAGGAAAAAACACCUAAACUCCCCUGCUUGGACAAAUGGAAGCCUCCUCCGCCUAAUGUCCUGAAGAUAAAUAUUAAUGGUGUGUAUGUUGAAAAUUCUCACAAAGGUGGAUGGGGAUAUGUGCUUAGAAAUGACAAAGGAGAGGUGUUGGCAGCAGGUGCAGGAUCUAUGCAGCACAUUUCUGAAGCUAUCCAUGCAGAAAGUCUAGCACUCCUCGAGGCAAUCAAUAGGGCAAAUGAACUGGGAUGUGACCGAUUAAUUUUUGAAACUGAUGCUUUUGUACUGAAACAAGCAGUAACGAGUGAAGCUUAG